This 240-nucleotide unclassified non-coding RNA is filed under the name soil metagenome. Its description in RNAcentral is "partial contains 5.8S ribosomal RNA, internal transcribed spacer 2, and large subunit ribosomal RNA". The record is from RNAcentral.
AACCAUAGAAACCUGCGGAGUACCUGCGGAAGGAUCAUUACAGAGUUGCAAAACUCCCUAAACCAUUGUGAACGUUACCUAAACCGUUGCUUCGGCGGGCGGCCCGGGUUCUUCCCGGCGCCCCUCGGCCCUCGCGGGCGCCCGCCGGAGGUAAACCAAACUAUUGCAUUGUAUGGCCUCUCUGAGUCUUCUGUACUGAAUAAGUCAAAACUUUUAACAACGGAUCUCAGAUCGGAAGAG